GAUGAACGCUGGCGGCGUGCCUAAUACAUGCAAGUCGAGCGAACGGACGAGAAGCUUGCUUCUCUGAUGUUAGCGGCGGACGGGUGAGUAACACGUGGAUAACCUACCUAUAAGACUGGGAUAACUUCGGGAAACCGGAGCUAAUACCGGAUAAUAUUUUGAACCGCAUGGUUCAAAAGUGAAAGACGGUCUUGCUGUCACUUAUAGAUGGAUCCGCGCUGCAUUAGCUAGUUGGUAAGGUAACGGCUUACCAAGGCAACGAUGCAUAGCCGACCUGAGAGGGUGAUCGGCCACACUGGAACUGAGACACGGUCCAGACUCCUACGGGAGGCAGCAGUAGGGAGUCUUCCGCAAUGGGCGAAAGCCUGACGGAGCAACGCCGCGUGAGUGAUGAAGGUCUUCGGAUCGUAAAACUCUGUUAUUAGGGAAGAACAUAUGUGUAAGUAACUGUGCACAUCUUGACGGUACCUAAUCAGAAAGCCACGGCUAACUACGUGCCAGCAGCCGCGGUAAUACGUAGGUGGCAAGCGUUAUCCGGAAUUAUUGGGCGUAAAGCGCGCGUAGGCGGUUUUUUAAGUCUGAUGUGAAAGCCCACGGCUCAACCGUGGAGGGUCAUUGGAAACUGGAAAACUUGAGUGCAGAAGAGGAAAGUGGAAUUCCAUGUGUAGCGGUGAAAUGCGUAGAGAUAUGGAGGAACACCAGUGGCGAAGGCGACUUUCUGGUCUGUAACUGACGCUGAUGUGCGAAAGCGUGGGGAUCAAACAGGAUUAGAUACCCUGGUAGUCCACGCCGUAAACGAUGAGUGCUAAGUGUUAGGGGGUUUCCGCCCCUUAGUGCUGCAGCUAACGCAUUAAGCACUCCGCCUGGGGAGUACGACCGCAAGGUUGAAACUCAAAGGAAUUGACGGGGACCCGCACAAGCGGUGGAGCAUGUGGUUUAAUUCGAAGCAACGCGAAGAACCUUACCAAAUCUUGACAUCCUUUGACAACUCUAGAGAUAGAGCUUUCCCCUUCGGGGGACAAAGUGACAGGUGGUGCAUGGUUGUCGUCAGCUCGUGUCGUGAGAUGUUGGGUUAAGUCCCGCAACGAGCGCAACCCUUAAGCUUAGUUGCCAUCAUUAAGUUGGGCACUCUAAGUUGACUGCCGGUGACAAACCGGAGGAAGGUGGGGAUGACGUCAAAUCAUCAUGCCCCUUAUGAUUUGGGCUACACACGUGCUACAAUGGACAAUACAAAGGGCAGCGAAACCGCGAGGUCAAGCAAAUCCCAUAAAGUUGUUCUCAGUUCGGAUUGUAGUCUGCAACUCGACUACAUGAAGCUGGAAUCGCUAGUAAUCGUAGAUCAGCAUGCUACGGUGAAUACGUUCCCGGGUCU
RNAcentral lists this ribosomal RNA (1372 nucleotides) under uncultured bacterium. Its description in RNAcentral is "bacterial SSU rRNA". It matches the Rfam family "Bacterial small subunit ribosomal RNA", at positions 28 to 1381 of the family's 1533-position model. The record is from RNAcentral.